GAAUCUCCUGACUAUGGUGGAGGAGUGUGGAUCCUGGAACUAAACUGAGGUGAUAGGGAGGAAAAGAGAGAAAUCAACAGUAAACGCUGCACAUCCUCUGUCUGGUAAAUGUGCAUCACUGAUUGUAUCCAAUCUAGAUUCAACCAGAGAGACGGAAGCAUUAAGAAUGACAUAGAAUAUGGAAUUUGCUAUAGGGAUUUGAGCUUCUACAUUUGCGGGAAGGAGCGAGUUGAACACUUAGGAACAGCUGUUGCUGCCGUGUCUGGUGGGGGGCCUGAGAGUGGCAGGACAAGCAGCCUGCCCCAGAAGUGGAAGAAACUGAAAGUGGAGUCCUGAGAGCUGAAUCUGCCGCAGGCCCGCGGGCCGCCCGGGAAUUAGGAAAGUUAGAGGGGAUCCACGCCCACAAGUGCUAUGGACUCUGAUCGCCCAACCAGAGCAAACCCAGAAGGACAACUCUCCAAGCCUUUCAAUCACUCCCACUAACCCGUAUUGUGGACACACUAUUGUGAGGCCUACUAAGGAUGUACUGCUGAUGACCUUUUGAAGGCCAGUGGACCUGCUCUGCAGACCCAGGCUCCUCUCCCAUGGAGCAUCCCAAGUCUGUCCUUAUGGGAAGAAGCAGGAGCCCUGUCUGGCUGUACCCCAAGCUGCUUUCUCUGGACCAAUGCUGUCAGCGAUAGAGGGAACCCUUCCACCAUCAUGUGAAGAAGCCUGGUCUAGCCUGCUGGAGGAUGAGAGAUCACAUGGAAUGAGGCCACAAUCGUUCCAGCCAAAGCCCCAGUAAUAGAAUUAAGAUCAUCCAAGACCAUGGCAUCCCGCCUGAGAAGUUCAGAUGAGAAGGGCCACCUGAACAACCAACAGAAUCUUAAAAAGUAAAAAAUGAGUGUUGCCACUAUGCAUCUAUUAGAAUGGCAGAAAUCGAAGACACUGACAACAACAAAUGCUGGUGAGGAUGUGGAGCAACAGGAACUCUCACUCACUGAAGAUGGAAAUGCAAAAUAGUGCAGCUACUUUGGAAAACAGCUACUUUGGCUGUUUCUUACAACACUAAAUAUGCUAUUAUUAUAUGAUCCAGAAGUUUUGCUCCUUAGCACUUACCCAAAAAAGUUGAAAACUUAUGUACACACAAAAACCUGCACAUGGAUAUUCACAGCAGUUUUUGAUAUGGUUUGGCUCUGUGUCCCCACAGAAAUCUCAUCUUGUAUUUGUAUAAAUUUAUGGGGUACAAGAGUAAUUUUGUUAGCAUGCAUAGACAUGCAUAGACUGCAUAGCUCCCAUAAUUCCCACAUGUUGUGGGAGGGACCAGGUGGGAGGUGAUUGAAUCAUAGGGGCAGGUCUUUCCUGUCUUGUUCUUGUGAUAGUGAGUGGGUCUCACAAGAUCUGAUGGUUUUAAAUAACAGGAAUUUAUCUGCACAAGCUCUUUUAUUUUGCCUGCUGCCAUCCACAUAAGAUGUGACUUGCUCCUCCUUGCCUUCUGCCAUGAUUGUGAGGCCUCCCCAGCCAUGUGGAACUGUAAAUCCAAUUAAAUCUCUUUCUUUUGUAAAUUGCCCAGUCUUGGAUAUGUCUUUAUCAGCAGAGUAAAUGUGGACUAAUACAGUAAAUUGGUACCAGUAGAGUGGGAUGUUGCUGAAAAUAUCAUCAAAAAUGUGGAAGUAACUUUGGAACUGGGUAACAGGCAGAGGAUGGAACAGUUUGGAGGGCUCAGAAGAAGACAGAAAAAUGUGGGAAAGUUUGGAACUUCCUAGAGACCUGUUGAAUGGCUUUGACAAAAAUGCUGAUGGUGAUAUGAAUGAACAAUAAGGUGAAUGAACAAUAAGGACCAGGCUGAGGUGGUCUCAGAGGGAGAUGAGGAACUUGUUGGGAAAUGGAGAAAAGAUGACUCUUGUUAUGCUUUAGAAAAGAGACUGGCAGCAUUUUGCCCCUGCCCUAGAGACUUGUGGAACUUUAAACUUGAGAGAGAUGAUUUAGGGUAUCUGGCGGAGGAAAUUUCUAAGCAGUAAUGCAUUCGUGAGGUGACUUGGGUGCUGUUAAAGGCACUCAGUUUCAAAAGGGAAACAGAACAUAAAAGUUUGGGAAAUUUGCAGUCUGGCAAUGCAAUAGAAAAUAAAAUCCCAUUUUCUGAAGAGAAAUUCAAGCCAGCUGCAGAAAUUUACCUAAUAACGAGGAGCCAAAUGUUAAUCCCCAAGACAAUGGAGAAAAUGUCUCCAGGGCAUGUCAGAGGUCUUCACAGCAGCCUCUUCCAUCAAAGGCCCAGAGACCUAGGGGGAAAAAAUGGUUUCCAAAGGCCCAGGGUUCCCAUUCUGUGUGCAGCCUAGGGACUUGGUGCCCUACCUCUCAGCCGCUCCAGCCAUGGCUUCAGAGGGUGCAAGCCCCAAGCCUUGGCAGCUUCCACAUGGUGUUGAACCUGGGAGUGCACAGAAGUCAAGGAUUGAGGUUUGGGAACCUCCACCUAGGUUUCAGAGGAGGUAUGGAAAUGCCUGGAUGUCCAGUCAGGAGUCUGCUGCAGAGUGGGGCACCCAUGGGAACCCCUGCUAGGCCAGUGUGGAAGGGAAAUGUGGGGCCCCCACACAGAGUCCCCACUGGGGCACUGCCUAUUGGAACUGUGAGAAGAAGGCCACCAUCCUCCAGAUUCCAGAAUGGUAGAUCCACCAACAACUUGCACCGUGCACCUGGAAAAGCUGCAGACACUCAACGCCAGCCCAUGAAAGCAACCACGAGGGAGGCUGUACCCUGUGGUACAGGAGCAAAGCUACCCAAAACCAUGGGAACCCACCUCAUACAUCAGCAUGGCCUAGAUGUGAGAGAUGGAGUCAAAGGAGAUCAUUUUGGAACUUUAAGAUUUGACUGCCUUGCUGGAUUUCGGACUUGCAUGGGGCCUGUAACCCCUUUGUUUUGGCCAAUUUCUCCCAUUUGGAAUGACUGUAUUUACCCAAUGGCUGUACCCCCACUGUAUCUAGGAAAUAACUAACUUGCUUUUGAUUUUACAGACUCACAGGUGAAAGGGACUUGCCUUGUCUCACAGAAGAUGUUGGACUGUGGACUUUUGAGUUAAUGAUGAAAUGAGUUGAGACUUUGGGGGACUGUUGGGAAGGCAUGACUGGUUUUGAAAUGUGAAGAUAUGAGACUGGGAGGGGCCAGGGGUGGAAUGAUAUGGUUUGGCUCUGUGUCCCUACCCAAAUCUCAUCUUGUAGCUCCCAUAAUUCUCACAUGUGGGAGGGACCUGGUAGGAAAUGACUGAAUCAUGGGGAUGGGUCUUUCCUAUGCUGUUCUCAUGAUAGUGAAUGGGUCUCAUGAGAUCUGAUGAUUUUAAAAAACGGGAGUUUCUCUGUACAAGCUCUUUUGUUUUGCCUGCCACCAUUCACGUAAGAUGUGACUUGCUCCUCCUGCCUUCCACCAUGAUUGUGAACCCUCUCCAGCCAUGUGGAACUGUAAGU
Long non-coding RNA from Homo sapiens (human), 3434 nucleotides. Ensembl annotates it as long intergenic non-protein coding RNA 652. The record is from Ensembl. NCBI's taxonomy places the organism in Eukaryota, Metazoa, Chordata, Mammalia, Primates, Hominidae.